GGGGACUUCAGGAUGAUGACUAGCCUUGGCCCUGCCCUCAGAGCACCCAGUGCAUCUGAGCAUCCACAGCCACAAGGCAGACAGACCUACAUGACACCCACGGCUUCACCGGCUGCCUUGUGACCAUGAAAGAAAGGCCUGGAAAAUCACAAGGAUGUCAGCCCCCACACUGCAGAACUAUCUCCAGUAACCAGAACUUUGUGUUAUGUCAGAAAAAAAAAACACUAUUCAGGAUUCAGGAUUUGCUUGA
Molecule: non-coding RNA, 250 nt
Organism: Macaca mulatta (Rhesus monkey)
Lineage: Eukaryota; Metazoa; Chordata; Mammalia; Primates; Cercopithecidae
Source: RefSeq, a predicted model, not a curated record